ACUUACGUCCAUACCACCCUGUCUACGCCCGACCUCGUCUGAUCUCAGAGAUUAAGAAGGGUCGGGCCUGGUUAGUACUUGGAUGGGAGACCGCCUGGGAAUACCAGGUGCUGUAAGCU
This 119-nucleotide ribosomal RNA is filed under the name Sinocyclocheilus rhinocerous. Lineage: Eukaryota; Metazoa; Chordata; Actinopteri; Cypriniformes; Cyprinidae. The record is from RNAcentral.